UACGGAGGGUGCGAGCGUUAAUCGGAAUUACUGGGCGUAAAGAGCGUGUAGGUGGUUUAGCAAGUUGGAAGUGAAAGCCCAGGGCUUAACCCUGGAACUGCUUUCAAAACUGCUAAACUAGAGAAUGGUAGGGGAUAGUGGAAUUCCUAGUGUAGAGGUGAAAUUCGUAGAUAUUAGGAGGAACACCAGAGGCGAAAGCGACUAUCUGGACCAUUUCUGACACUAAGACGCGAAAGCGUGGGUAGCAAACAGG
Molecule: ribosomal RNA, 253 nt
Filed under: uncultured bacterium
Lineage: Bacteria
Description: partial 16S ribosomal RNA
Rfam family: Bacterial small subunit ribosomal RNA
Source: RNAcentral